UGAUCAUGGCUCAGGACGAACGCUGGCGGCACGCCUAACACAUGCAAGUCGAACGGAGAUAUUUUGGUUUACUGAGAUAUMUUAGUGGCGGACGGGUGAGUAACACGUGAGCAACCUGCCUYUGAGAGAGGGAUAGCUUCUGGAAACGGAUGGUAAUACCUCAUAACAUAACGAAGCCGCAUGACUUUGUUAUCAAAGAUUUAUCACUCAGAGAUGGGCUCGCGUCUGAUUAGAUAGUUGGUGAGGUAACGGCUCACCAAGUCGACGAUCAGUAGCCGGACUGAGAGGUUGAACGGCCACAUUGGGACUGAGACACGGCCCAGACUCCUACGGGAGGCAGCAGUGGGGAAUAUUGCACAAUGGGGGAAACCCUGAUGCAGCGAUGCCGCGUGGAGGAAGAAGGUUUUCGGGUUGUAAACUUCCUGUCUUAAAGGACGAUAAAUG
This 444-nucleotide ribosomal RNA is filed under the name uncultured Bacillota bacterium. Its description in RNAcentral is "bacterial SSU rRNA". The record is from RNAcentral. Lineage: Bacteria; Bacillati; Bacillota.